AAGGAUUUAGGAUAACCCUAAAACCGAGAGCCUUCAAAGCCCUAAACGGGAGUGAGAAUCUCCCAGUCCUUG
RNAcentral lists this transfer RNA (72 nucleotides) under Brachyistius frenatus (kelp perch). RNAcentral describes it as "tRNA-Trp". It matches the Rfam family "tRNA". Rfam says of the family: Transfer RNA (tRNA) molecules are approximately 80 nucleotides in length. Their secondary structure includes four short double-helical elements and three loops (D, anti-codon, and T loops). Lineage: Eukaryota; Metazoa; Chordata; Actinopteri; Embiotocidae. The record is from RNAcentral.